UGAAGGCCAUGAAGUCUCAAGCUGGCCCAGUCAAUGUGGCCUUGGCAUUGAAGUCUCCCAGGACCAGGGGUGCCAACUUGAAUCAAAUAGGAGGAGGGAGGUAAGCCCUACCCCACAUAAUCAAUCACAGCAUCAAUUUUGUGGUCCCCCAGACCCCUCAAAUAUUUUAUUGGGGGCAGGGCUUUUUUCAGGGGGAAUUCUCUGGCAUACAGUUCCAGCACCUGUGAGAGUUCCAGAUCCUCUCAGGUGAGUUCUGGCACGUCAACUCAGGUGAGUGCCAUGGCCAUUCUAAGAGAAAUUGUUCAUGAUGAGUUCCAGCCCUUCUUUUUCAAGAAAAAUAGCACUGAUUAGUGGACCUGAAGGGACGUCAGCCUCUAAGAGUUGGCUCCUAUGCUCAGUACCAACCUCCUGGGGUACUUGAACACACUCAAGACCACCUCAGUCAAGUAAGCGAUUAGACAACAGUGUUGGCAGUACACCUAAAGCAGGCAGAGUCUGUCCUAGUAUAGGGUUGCCAUAUGUCUAGAAUUUCCUAGACAUAGCUGGGAUUCGGCCACCGGAAACCGUGUCUGGGUAGAAAUCGUGGAAGUGGCAAAUUACCUUAAAAUUACGUCUUGGCAAAUUACCUUAAAAAUAGCUCAAAAACUUCUUCUUUUUUGAGAUUUUGCAAAAAGAAAAAGAAAAAAGAGCAACAACUUUUGUGUCUGGAUUUUCACUUUUUGAAAUGUGGCAACCCUAUCCUACUAGUCCAAUGAAAAGUACAGGCCUUUAUGACAGGCUGUAUAUACUGUGGUUUCAGUCUCCAAGGUAAUUAAUUUCCUACAUGCUGAGAGAUCCUGAAAGAAUAGCGCCGCCAAACGGUUUGAAUGUGCCUUCGGCAUGCUGCAAUUAGCAGCAAUACUUUGGGCUGCAAGAAGCAAAAUUGUGUUGAGAGGCAGGACAAAGGGGAAAAGGGAUGUGGGCAUAGGGGCCACCUAUUUGAUGUGACAAACCACUCAUCAAAAGUUCGGGAAAGCACCAAUGAGCCUCCUCAAGAGCAGGGGCUGCAGAUGUAAUAGCCAAUUAUUUUUGCUUAAUCGGUUUUCCACAGUAAGAGGUAAUGAUGACAGUCUUUGUAUGCUGCUGUCAUGAAUAACAGUGGUACCUUGGUUGUCAAACACUAAAAAUCCAGAAGUAAGUGUUCCGGGUUUUGAAUGUUUUUUGGAAGCCGAACAUCCGAUGCGGCUGUUGGCUAUUGUUUCUGGGGCACCUGCACCAAUCAGAAGCUGUGCCUUGGUUUUCAAACACAGUGGUGCCCUGCAAGACGAAUGCCUCGCAAGGCGGAAAACUCGCUAGACGAAAGGGUUUUCCGUUUUUUGAGCUGCUUCGCAAGAUGAAUUUCCCUAUGGGCUUGCUUCGCAAGAGGAAAACAUCUUGCAAGUUUGUUUCCUUUUUCGUAAAACCGUUAAUAUCCAGGGUGCAUUGCUUGAAGAGGUGCAGUUGCGACUUGACUUCGAGGAGCAACACAUUGCACGCGGUGUGAUGGCCUUUCUGAGCUUUUUAAAGAGUUUGCUGGAUUUUUGAAGCUUUUCCAAAACUUCUUUUGCAGCCGUUUGGUAAGUUAAACUUUUAAAACUUUUUGGGGGGGUUUUGGAUUUUGGGUUGGGGUGUUUGGAAUUCAAGGACUUGGUGUUGGGGAGAGGUUUGCAAGAAUCUGGGAGCUUGUGUGUGGUUUUUUUUGAAUUUUUAUGAUUUUCUGUGACCAUUGGGGCACUCUGCUGUGUUUUUUUUUAAAAAAAUUCUGGGUUUGAAUUUCUGUGUGGUGGGUGGCUGGGGGAACAGUUGAGGAGGGGUUUGCAAGAAUCUGGGAGCUUGUGUGGGUUUUUUUUGAAUUUUUAUGAUUUUCUUUGACCAUUGGCCCAUGUUUUUUUUUUUUUUUUUCAAAAAACAUUUAUGAGUUUGAAUUUCUGUGUGGUGGGUGACUGGGGGAGCAGUUGGGGGGGGUUGCAACAGUUGGGGAGGGGUUUGCAAUUUCUGUGUGGUGGGUGGGUGGCUGGGGGAACAGUUGAGGUUUUUGAAGACUUUGGUGAUUUUUAAAGCUUUUACAAAACUUCUUUGCAGCCAUUUGAGGAUUUUGAAGACUUUGGUGAUUUGCAGCCAUUUCGUAAGUUAAACUUUUUAAAACUUUUUUUGGGGGUUUUUGGAUUUUGGGUUGGGUGUUUGGAAUUCAAGGACUUGGUUCUGGGUUUGAAUUCCUGUGUGGUGGGUGGCUGGGUGCUUUUGAAUUUUUUGGGUGUGAAGCACUGAUUUUUUUUUUUCUGAGUUUACGAAGCUAGGAGCUGUGCUGCCAUGGGACCCAAGAAGACUGCUGCUGCAGAGGCCGGCGAGAGGAAGAAGGAGAAGGUGAUGCUGGAAAUUAAGAAGGAGAUUAUCCGGAAGCACGACGGUGGAAUGCGUGUGACAGACCUCGCCAGGGAGUAUGGCAGGAACCCAUCGACCAUCGGCACCAUCCUGAAGAUGAGGGAGAAGAUCCUUGCGACUGAUGCAGCCAAGGAAGUCACCAGGAUCGUGAAGAACCGCCCAGCUGUUCUGGAGGAGGUCGAGAAGUUGCUGCUCAUCUGGUUAGAAGAGAAGCAGCGUGCAGGGGACACAGUGACUGAGGCCAUGAUUUGUGAGAAGGCCAAGGCCUUGCACGCAAACCUCAUCCGGGAACAGCCAGGAACCUCAGGCGAGCCAGAAGUCUUCAAGGCAAGCAGAGGCUGGUUUGACCGGUUCAAGACGAGAUCUGGAAUCCACAGCGUGGUCAGGCAUGGAGAGGCUGCCAGUUCUGAUGUUCCUGCGGCUGAAGACUUUGCCUUGGAGUUCCUGGAGGCUGUGAAGACAGAGGGCUAUGUUCCACAGCAGGUCUUCAACUGCGACGAGACCGGGCUGUUUUGGAAGAGGAUGCCCAAAAGGACUUUCAUCACUCAGGAGGAGGCCAAGUUGCCUGGCCACAAGCCCAUGAAGGACCGUCUGACCCUGCUCUUCUGUGCCAACGCUAGCGGCGACCUGAAGAUCAAGCCCCUGCUGGUGUACCACUCGGAGAACCUACGGGCCUUCAAGAAACACAAGGUCGACAAGGAGCAGCUGAGUGUCAUGUGGCGAUCCAACAGUAAGGCUUGGGUCACACGUGUGCUGUUUGUGGACUGGGUCAAUCUUGCUUUUGGCCCUGCUGUCAAACAGUACCUGCUGGACAACGACCUGCCGCUGAAGGCUUUGCUUCUGAUGGACAAUGCUCCUGCUCAUCCUAAAGGCCUUGAGGAGGACUUGUUGGAGGAGUUCAGCUUCAUCAACAUCAUGUUCCUGCCACCUAACACCACGCCACUUCUCCAGCCGAUGGAUCAGCAGGUCAUCACCAAUUUCAAAAAACUCUACACCAAGGAGCUUUUCAGGCGAUGCUUCGAGGUGACUGAUUGCACCACCAUCACCCUGCGGGAAUUCUGGAAGGACGACUUCGACAUCGUCACCUGCUUGAAGAUGAUCACCACGGCCUGGAACGGGAUCAGCCAGAGAAAUUUGAAUUGCGCUUGGCGCAGUCUGUGGCCGGACUGUGUGGCACCAAGUGACUCUGAUGCACCAGAGUCAACAGUGGUGCAGGACAUUGCUGCCUUGGGGAGGACCACGGGCCUGGAGGUCACAGAGGAGGACGUCUGCGAGCUGGUGGAGGAGCACGACCACGAGCUGACCACCCAGGAGCUGGUCGAACUGCAGGCAGAGGCUGCGCAGGAGCAGGCCUCGCUGGAAGAGAAGGAAGCAACUGAGGAACGGCUGUCCUCCAAAGAACUGAGGGACAUUUGCAUGAAGUGGAAGGAUGUGCAGGCUUUUGCACAGCGGAACCACCCUAACAAGCACGUGGCACAUGACCUUGCGAACACUUUGAUAUGAUCGGUCAUGCCGCCUUUCAGGGAGGGUGCUGAAAAGGCAGAUGACGCAUCAGACCAUGGACAGGUUAUUUAGCAAGAAGCAAAGAGUGGAAGAGGAACCUUCUUCGAGUGGUCCCCCAGAGUCUUAGAAAAUGUAGUGUACACUUUGUUGAUUUUUAAAUGUUUUUCCUGUCAUGUUUAGAAACUUAAUUUAUUGUUCCUUCAAUUUUUGAAAUGCUCUUUACAGUAUGUGUGACUUUAAAGAGCACUUAAUAAACUCUUGUUGUACCAAAUCUGGCUUUGUUUGGACUUUUUUUGACCAUAGGAACACAUUAAUUGAAUUUCAAUGCAUUCCUAUGGGAUUUCGUGCUUCGCAAGACGAAAAAUUCGCUAGACGAAAAAACUCGCGGAACGAAUUAAUUUCGUCUUGCGAGGCACCACUGCAUUUCGGAAGUCAAGCACACUUCCGGAACGGAUGAAGUUUGGUGCUUCUCCCCCCCCACCCCCAGUUUAUUCAAUUUAUUCUGUGUUUUCGUUUUUGAGGCUUUUUCAAUUAAUUUUGUGACUGUGUGGAACCCAGUUCAGCUACUGAUUGAUUGAUUGAUUGAUUGAUUGUGUGACUGUGGAGAUGGAUAAGAGCCCCCCAUCCAAACAAUGACUAUCAUCAGUGCAGGUAAGAAUUUUUUUUUUUUAAUUUUUAUCAUCCACAAUACUGUCUUAUUUAUUUUAUACUACAGUUCAUUGAUUAUUGCUUUCAUUUUAUGGAUCAAUGGUCUCGUUAGAUAGUAAAAUUCAUGUUAAAUUGCUGUUUUAGGGAUUGUUUUUAAAAGUCUGGAACGGAUUAAUCCGUUUUGCAUUACUUUCUAUGGGAAAGCGCACCUUGGCCUUGGAACGCUUUGGUUUUGGAAAGGACUUCUGGAACAGAUUAAGUAUGAGAACCAAGGUACCACUGUAUAUGCAUUCUGAUGCACACCUUACCCUAGUAUGUGCAUUUUCUUACACAUUACUUGGCAUGGCAAAAUUCAGAUAAGUGCAAAUUUCAAUAGGCGACUGUGUUUCAUGGCACAUUUUUUUUGUCAGAAUGCGUAUAUUAGGUAGCCUCACCUUUAAAUGAGGACUGGUUCAAAAUUUUGCCCGCUCCUGUUUCUGCUCUCAGGUAUUUCCAACUCUCAUUGUAAUCAGUCAAAUGACGAUAUGCUUGUUGCGCUUCGGAUGCCAAGUCUGAUAUCAUCAGUGUUGGGGACAGCAGGGAUUACUGAAUAUGCAAUGAUGAAUAUUCUAUUGAAAAUUGGUCAUAAUUACCUUGGGCUGCAAUAACCCUUAACCUGCAAACUUUUACUCAUAGAUUAAGAGCACCUUAGAGAAUGUUCUCCACUUUUCCCUGCAUUUUACAUCCUACACCAAGGUCUCAUCUCCUUCAUUUUUAAAGUGGCUCUACACUACAUUAACCUAAUUCCCUUGGUUCCUCUAAAUAGUUGUAGAAGAUAAUUUCCUGUUCUUCAUAACCUUCUUAGCUGUCCUACUCUGUACUUACACGUUUGUGUCAGCAAUUAAACUCUUACAUGCCCUCAUUAAUGCACUGAACCUUGUCUCCAUUCCUCUAUCCCUCACUUCAUUCUGCUAUGUGGUAUAAAUAUGGCUCUAUUGUUCAUUAGCAUACGGCCCCCUUAAUCCCUCAAAGAAGGUACAGGUGUGGGUAUAUUCUGCCCACUGCCCCACCCCUGUUGCAAAUGAGACCCACUUGAACUUCUGUGCCAUGCCUUUGAAACAGCAGUCCUGUUAAACUUCACGAUAAUUCCGAAAAGGAAGGGAGGUGGAAAAGACUUCCCUUAAAAAAUUCCAAGCACAUGUAUUUACUUUUAUCUCACAAACGGCUAUCAUGGCACGGCUUUGUCACUGCCGAAAUGCAAGAUGAAUAAUGCAUUUUGCAAACAACAGGAACCUUCCAUUGUGAAAAUAAAUUAUUCCAAAUAAGACACAUGUUAGCCACGGAUACGUCGGUGGGCUCGAUAAGAGAAAUAACUAGAGGAAAUUAAAUGACCUGUCUACAGGAGGGCGGGCAAGGUAGUUUGAACUGUCUCUUCAAGUUUAAAAUUUAUGAACCAGUGGAGUUGUGCCUCUCGCCCUCAUACGUGAUCAUAUUCAAUGGAAUCCAAGAACAACACUUGCAUAAACACACACACAUCCAUAGAUUACCUUUCCAGGACUGAGCUACUGAAGAAUCCUGAAGAGCUUAAUUUCAAAUGGGACUUAAGUCAAUUUUAACCAAGAUUCCAUUUGGAAGAAAAUUAUUUCUGACUAGGGCUUUUUAAAAAAAUAAUAAAAAAAUGCAAACACGAUUUUCAAGGCUUGCUAACACAGUGACUUAGAACAUCAUAAAACAAUGCACAUUUGACCUCCAUGCCCCGCCCAAAAAAGUUUUGCCACAUGCAAAGUCAUUUUAUGUAUCUGAGUUACUUCUCGCCAUGUUGCCCAUCAAUCAAAUAGGUGCCAUGGCAAAUCAAGCUAACUGCCAGUUGUGCAUCAGGACAACUGAAUGAUUAAUUAGUGGUUUUAAUUAAACUCCUUUGCGGCAGUAUAGUGAAAAUUAAAUCUGAACGACAAAAUGGAAGCCUACCUGGGAAGCGUUAAAUAUUGUUGCAAUGAUCUCCAAGUCAGGCCUGUUUCGUUUCAGGUUUUCUCUUUUAGUUUCUUCUGUGGGCACUGAUGGUGAGAAGAUACCUGAGGAAAGAAGCAUUAAUAGCUUUUGAUGGCUGGUGGCUACUAGCUGGAGAAGAAAGUAGAGCAGGAGUUCCAAAAUUGUGCUCUGUGGACCACCAGUGGUCCAUGAGUUUCAUUCAGGUGGUCCUCGACUUGUCUGCUUUAAAUAUUCAUAUUGGUUUUAAAUUGAAUGUUUUUUGUUUCUUUUAUUUCUUACAUUGCAGUACAAUAAAUUUCUGAUAUAAUAAUAAAAAACACAAAAAUACAAUUCAAAGUAAUACAAUAUCUAGCCUAGCAUAUUACAAUAGCUAAAAUGGGCAGAGAAAAAUAUUAAGUUUCCUACCAAAACCCUCAGCAAUUUUCAAGUGGUCCACGAGGGAAUUUAUUUUCGGAAGUACUGAGAUAGAGGAGAGCAUUUGAUUUGAGCCAGCAAGUCUGUUUUUACAUGUAUCUGUUAAUAAAAAUACAUUGAGACUCCAUGAGAAUGCUUCUUGGAAACAGGUGCUGGUUUAAAAACAAAAUGUCUGUCUAAAUUAUCUAUCUCUUUCUCUGAUACUUAAGCUAUACACCUGUUAAAGGAAUCCAGUCCAAAGCUUAUUCCUCACAAGAAAACUGACCCAUGUGAAAGGGUUCUCCAAGGAAGGGAGGAGUGAAAGAAUAUUCGUCACAAAUGGGGUAACUGACAAAGAGGCAUUGCAAAAACCAUACACAAAGCUGUUCAGCUUAGCAAAAAAAAGGCAGUUCAGACAACUCCGGUUUGCUUGUGGUUUUCGUUUGUGCCCAUACUGAUCUUCCUGGGUUUGAUGGAAGAUUCAUAGUUUUGUCAUCCAUUUAGCAUACUUAAACAUUCACCACAUUUAAAUCAAAUCCCAUAGAGUUAGCAUACUUAAUCAUUCACCACAUUUAAAUCAAAUCCCAUAGAUUUGUUUAAUCAAACAAAGUACACUUUAUUUACACAAUUCUCUCUUGCGAAAAGACAAAAGCAGAAUUUGACGAGGAGCACAUGCAAUUCGCUUACUUAAAACAAUUAGCACUGCAAAUUUGUUUACACCAAAGAUUGAACAAAUUGCUCGAAACAAUGCGCACGCCGACUUUCUCAUUUACACUAAUGGGCUCGCAUUUGUAGCUCUGAAAGCAAAGUCUGAUGGAUUUCAUAACAUCUAUGUGCCUGGUGUGUAUCCCAUCGACUCUCCAAGGAACUUGUUUUAUUCUCACAUAUAGGUCUGAGAUAUGUCUGUUUUAUUCUCACAUUAGUCUGAGAUAUGUCUGUUGUCUUUGUCCAUGGAGUUUUCUUGGCAGGGAUACUGGAGUGGCUUGCCGGUUCCUCAUCGAGGUGGAUCACGUUUGGUCAAAACUCUCCACUAUGACCUGUCCAUCUUGGGUGCCCUGCUCGGCAUAGUUCAUAGCAUCUCUGAGUUAUUCAAGCCCCUUCGCCACGGCAAGGCAGUGCCAACAAAGGUCCGUAUAGUUAAAGCUAUGGUUUCCCAGUAGUGAUGUAUGGAAGUGAGAGCUGGACCAUAAAGAAGGCUGAUCACCGAAGAAUUGAUGCUUUUGAAUUAUGGUGCUGGAGGAGACUCUUGAGAGUCCCAUGGACUACAAGAAGAUCAAACCUAUCCAUUCUUAAGGAAAUCAGCCCUGAGUGCUCACUGGAAGGACAGAUCCUGAAGCUGAGGCUCCAAUACUUUGGCCACCUCAUGAGAAGAGAAGACAUCCUUGGAAAAGACCCUGAUGUUGGGAAAGAUUGAGGGCACAAUGAGAAAGGGAUGGCAGAGGAUGAGAUGGUUGGAUAGUGUUCUCGAAGCUACCAACAUGAGUUUGACUAAACUGCGGGAGGCAGUGGAAGACAGAAGUGCCUGGCGUGCUCUAGUUCAUGGGGUCACGAAGAGUCAGACACGGCUAAACGACUAAACAACAACAAUUAGUCUGAGAUAUGGCAGCUGGCCCACAGUCAGAGACAGCAACUUGAGCAGAAGAUUGCCGUGCGGGAGGGCAUGACACACACAUGGCAUCCUUGUGACACAGGGAGGAGCCAUGGGUGGAGUUGAAUGUCGCAGCAGCCCAGCUUCAAUGGCUGGUGGCUCUUUCUCUCUGGCACUCAGCCUCCUCCUCCUACUACUGCAUCCACUGUCUGGGGGAUGCUUCCCUCAUCCUUCCCCUCUGCAGCAGUAGGAGGAGCUGCCAGCGACACAAUUUUGCUUUGAGAGCUUUUAUAGCUUUUUUUCCUGUAGUGUUUUUUUAUAUCCAUAUAGAUCCAGCCCUGGUCUAACACUGUAGCCCAUUUAAAUAAUGAAAGUGAUAUGAAAAGGAAAUGAUACUUGCUUGAUGUAUCAUCAUAUAACCUCAUUGCAGCCAAAUCCAAGCAAGUGUUCAAUAAUAAGCAUCGUCUAACCUCCCUGAGAAAUUUGUGCAAACGGAUCAGGAUCAAUAAACAGGUCAUUUGGAGGUGACCGAAGUUUAACUUCUUUCCACCUGCCUUCCGAACACAUUACAGUGGUGCCUCGGGUUACAGACGCUUCAGGUUACAGACACUUCAGGUUACAGACUCCGCUAACCCAGAAAUAGUAUCUCGGGUUAAGAACUUUGCUUCAGGAUGAGAACAGAAAUCGUGUGGUGGCGGGGUGGCAGCAGCGGGAGGCCCCAUUAGCUAAAGUGGUGCUUCAGGUUAAGAACAGUUUCAGGUUAAGAAUGGACCUCCAGAACGAAUUAAAUUCUUAACCCGAGGUACCGCUGUAUUUGGAAGCAACAGGGCUUUCAAAAUUCUUCCUUCCUUCCUUCCUUCCUUCCUUCCUUCCUUCCUUCCUUCCUUAUUUAAAAUAUUAAGUGUUCAUCUGUUUCUUGACCAUAUUGGAAAUAUUUUUUUGUCUUCUCACUUCUCAUAGGCCAUCUUCACUCAUAAACAUAUCUGUAAGAAUUGUAGCAAGAAACUUCACUGGGUGGCCAUUCUAUAUGUCAUAUUUUCCCUUACAAGGAAAAUCUCUAUUUACAAUCUCUAUUUAAGAUGCAUGUUUAUUUUGCUCAAUCAGUGGUACCUCGGGUUACAUACGCUUCAGGUUACAUACGCUUCAGGUUACAGACUCUACUAACCCAGAAAUAGUGCUUCAGGUUAAGAACUUUGCUUCAGGAUGAGAACAGAAAUCGUGCAGUGGCAGCAGCGGGAGGCCCCAUUAGCUAAAGUGGUGCUUCAGGUUAAGAACAGUUUCAGGUUAAGAAUGGACCUCCAGAACGAAUUAAGUACUUAACCCGAGGUACCACUGUACAUGGAGGAUCUAUGCUUCUUGUUUGAUGGUGCUAAUUCUUCCUACACAGGUGGGUACAGAAUAAAGAUGCAUGAAAUAACUCUCAUUAUUUGCAUUACAAAGGUUGUCCAUACAUGUCAAUUGUUCCUGGGUGAAUAACACAGAACACAAGACCAUCACUGAGCUUGUGAACUGGAAGCAUUCCUGCAUCAGCAUGAGAAGCCCAUCAGAUGCCUCCUUCUGGUCUUCCUCUAAUUACUCUCUUUCUCUCUCGUUACUUAGGAAAUGACUGUAACUCAGUGGUAGACCAUUUGCUUUCCCCACAUAAAGUCCCAGUUUAAUCUCCCAGGAUCUCCAAGUAAGGCAAAACAUUUCCUGUCUGUCACAGUCAGUUUUCUCUUAUCCCGUCAAAACUCAUGAUCUACCACCACUCAGACUUCCCACUUCCCAUUUCACUGUAUUCUCUGAAAUCUUCUUUCGAUAAACUUUACCCCCUUGACCUCCAAUCUCCCAUUUGCUCGUCAACUUGUCUGAGGCAUCCAUGCUGAAUAUUUAUUGAAAUAUACUCGAAGUCGAGUGUGUAUUUCAUGCUCUUUAUUCAGCUCAUAGUAGUGAGGAAUGAAAGUUCCCCUAAAAUAUCUGCUUUAUAUACAUUAUUUACACAAUGAGCCGCACGUGAUUGGCUAAUUCUGGGAUUCUCCUGUAGGCCAAUCAGGUUGCGGAUUCACUUCCACCUGAAGAUGGAUUGGGUGGCUCCUGUGGACCAAUCAUACAGUACUGCUGCAUUGUUCUAGGACCAACCAGACUGCUGCAUUCUGGACCCUAUUGUUCAAGGACCAAUCAGACUGCUGCCUUUUGGAUCCUAUUCAACUCAAUACAUAAAAUUUAUAUUCUGCUGUAUUUAUAAAACUGCUGUAAGUUUUAUAAGUGUUUUAGGUGAGAAAAUACAUUGCAGUAGGAAAGGUUAACUCAAGCAUGCAGUACCUGUGGACUUUUAAGUUUAGCUGGGCAACAGCACCCACCUUGGUUUAAGACAGUCUCAACCAUCAUGGCCAACGAUCAGGGAUGAUGGGAAUUUUAGUCCAACAACUUCUGAAGAGCCACUGGUUCCCCAUGGGGUAAUGGAUAAUACUGGUUGAGCAAUAAAAUGUUAACACUCACACUCACUAGAAAUCACUGUGUUAACCAGGC
Molecule: non-coding RNA, 11008 nt
Organism: Podarcis lilfordi (Lilford's wall lizard)
Lineage: Eukaryota; Metazoa; Chordata; Lepidosauria; Squamata; Lacertidae
Source: the annotation of a GenBank genome assembly